GGUAUCAGAAGUGCGAAUGCUGACAUAAGUAACGAUAAAGCGGGUGAAAAGCCCGCUCGCCGGAAGACCAAGGGUUCCUGUCCAACGUUAAUCGGGGCAGGGUGAGUCGACCCCUAAGGCGAGGCCGAAAGGCGUAGUCGAUGGGAAACGGGUUAAUAUUCCCGUACUUGGUGUUACUGCGAAGGGGGGACGGAGAAGGCUAUGUUGGCCGGGCGACGGUUGUCCCGGUUUAAGCGUGUAGGUGUGUGUUCCAGGUAAAUCCGGUUCACUUUAACACUGAGGCGUGACGACGAGGCACUACGGUGCUGAAGCAACAAAUGCCCUGCUUCCAGGAAAAGCCUCUAAGCAUCAGGUAACAUCAAAUCGUACCCCAAACCGACACAGGUGGUCAGGUAGAGAAUACCAAGGCGCUUGAGAGAACUCGGGUGAAGGAACUAGGCAAAAUGGUGCCGUAACUUCGGGAGAAGGCACGCUGACACGUAGGUGAAGUGAUUUACUCAUGGAGCUGAAGUCAGUCGAAGAUACCAGCUGGCUGCAACUGUUUAUUAAAAACACAGCACUGUGCAAACACGAAAGUGGACGUAUACGGUGUGACGCCUGCCCGGUGCCGGAAGGUUAAUUGAUGGGGUCAGCGCAAGCGAAGCUCCUGAUCGAAGCCCCGGUAAACGGCGGCCGUAACUAUAACGGUCCUAAGGUAGCGAAAUUCCUUGUCGGGUAAGUUCCGACCUGCACGAAUGGCGUAAUGAUGGCCAGGCUGUCUCCACCCGAGACUCAGUGAAAUUGAACUCGCUGUGAAGAUGCAGUGUACCCGCGGCAAGACGGAAAGACCCCGUGAACCUUUACUAUAGCUUGACACUGAACAUUGAGCCUUGAUGUGUAGGAUAGGUGGGAGGCUUUGAAGCGUGGACGCCAGUCUGCGUGGAGCCGACCUUGAAAUACCACCCUUUAAUGUUUGAUGUUCUAACGUGGACCCGUAUCCGGGUUGCGGACAGUGUCUGGUGGGUAGUUUGACUGGGGCGGUCUCCUCCUAAAGAGUAACGGAGGAGCACGAAGGUUGGCUAAUCCUGGUCGGACAUCAGGAGGUUAGUGCAAUGGCAUAAGCCAGCUUGACUGCGAGCGUGACGGCGCGAGCAGGUGCGAAAGCAGGUCAUAGUGAUCCGGUGGUUCUGAAUGGAAGGGCCAUCGCUCAACGGAUAAAAGGUACUCCGGGGAUAACAGGCUGAUACCGCCCAAGAGUUCAUAUCGACGGCGGUGUUUGGCACCUCGAUGUCGGCUCAUCACAUCCUGGGGCUGAAGUAGGUCCCAAGGGUAUGGCUGUUCGCCAUUUAAAGUGGUACGCGAGCUGGGUUUAGAACGUCGUGAGACAGUUCGGUCCCUAUCUGCCGUGGGCGCUGGAGAACUGAGGGGGGCUGCUCCUAGUACGAGAGGACCGGAGUGGACGCAUCACUGGUGUUCGGGUUGUCAUGCCAAUGGCACUGCCCGGUAGCUAAAUGCGGAAGAGAUAAGUGCUGAAAGCAUCUAAGCACGAAACUUGCCCCGAGAUGAGUUCU
RNAcentral lists this ribosomal RNA (1550 nucleotides) under Salmonella enterica subsp. enterica serovar Heidelberg str. 24393. RNAcentral describes it as "bacterial LSU rRNA". It matches the Rfam family "Bacterial large subunit ribosomal RNA", at positions 1278 to 2812 of the family's 2925-position model. RNAcentral also lists the same sequence under 1 other name. Lineage: Bacteria; Pseudomonadati; Pseudomonadota; Gammaproteobacteria; Enterobacterales; Enterobacteriaceae. The record is from RNAcentral.